Molecule: long non-coding RNA, 331 nt
Organism: Pieris napi
Lineage: Eukaryota; Metazoa; Arthropoda; Insecta; Lepidoptera; Pieridae
Exons: 2
Source: RefSeq, a predicted model, not a curated record
UGGCGGUGAGGGUUAUGGCAGUGGCGCAAGUGGUUUCGGGAGCCAAGGUUACCAGAAUGCCGGAGCGGGUGGCUUUCACAACGUUGGUGCUCACCACAAUAAAGUUACAUCUAUAAACCAAGCUGAAGAUUCUGGCUUCCACAACGUUGGUGGUGGAUCAGCGAUGGAUAAUGGGGGUUAUGCUGGAAACGGAUAUAAUGGAUUUGAAAACGGUGCUUCACAAUUUGGAAAUGGUUUUGGAUCUGGCAGUCAAGGCAUGAUAAUAUAACUAUCAAAAUAUUUAAGACGCUUUAAUUGUAAUCUUUAGUAUUAAUAAACUAUUUUUAUAUGA